GACUCGCUAGCUCAAUUGGUAGAGCAACUGACUCUUAAUCAGUAGGUGUUUAGGGUUCGAGUCCCUGGCAGGUCACCA
Molecule: transfer RNA, 78 nt
Filed under: Methylomusa anaerophila
Lineage: Bacteria; Bacillati; Bacillota; Negativicutes; Selenomonadales; Sporomusaceae
Description: tRNA-Lys
Rfam family: tRNA
About the family: Transfer RNA (tRNA) molecules are approximately 80 nucleotides in length. Their secondary structure includes four short double-helical elements and three loops (D, anti-codon, and T loops). Further hydrogen bonds mediate the characteristic L-shaped molecular structure. tRNAs have two regions of fundamental functional importance: the anti-codon, which is responsible for specific mRNA codon recognition, and the 3' end, to which the tRNAs corresponding amino acid is attached (by aminoacyl-tRNA synthetases). tRNAs cope with the degeneracy of the genetic code in two manners: having more than one tRNA (with a specific anti-codon) for a particular amino acid; and 'wobble' base-pairing, i.e. permitting non-standard base-pairing at the 3rd anti-codon position.
Source: RNAcentral